RNAcentral lists this ribosomal RNA (413 nucleotides) under Bipolaris sorokiniana. RNAcentral's name for it is "eukaryotic LSU rRNA". The stretch from base 104 to 257 matches the Rfam family "5.8S ribosomal RNA". Lineage: Eukaryota; Fungi; Ascomycota; Dothideomycetes; Pleosporales; Pleosporaceae. The record is from RNAcentral.
ACUUGUUGUUUCCUGGGCGGGUUCGCCCGCCACCAGGACCAAACCAUAAACCUUUUUUUUAUGCAGUUGCAAUCAGCGUCAGUAAAAACAAUGUAAUUAUUACAACUUUCAACAACGGAUCUCUUGGUUCUGGCAUCGAUGAAGAACGCAGCGAAAUGCGAUACGUAGUGUGAAUUGCAGAAUUCAGUGAAUCAUCGAAUCUUUGAACGCACAUUGCGCCCUUUGGUAUUCCAAAGGGCAUGCCUGUUCGAGCGUCAUUUGUACCUUCAAGCUUUGCUUGGUGUUGGGCGUUUUUUGUCUCCCUCUUUCUGGGAGACUCGCCUUAAAACGAUUGGCAGCCGGCCUACUGGUUUCGGAGCGCAGCACAUAUUUUGCGCUUUGUAUCAGGAGAAAAGGACGGUAAUCCAUCAAGA